Molecule: non-coding RNA, 98 nt
Filed under: Lactococcus lactis
Lineage: Bacteria; Bacillati; Bacillota; Bacilli; Lactobacillales; Streptococcaceae
Also listed under: 1 other name
Description: Guanine sequence
Rfam family: Purine riboswitch aptamer
About the family: Riboswitches are metabolite binding domains within certain messenger RNAs that serve as precision sensors for their corresponding targets.
Source: RNAcentral
UAGUCUAUAAUAGAACAAUCUUAUUUAUACCUAGGAUAUGGCUGGGCGUUUCUACCUCGUACCGUAAAUGCGAGACAAUAAGGAAAUUCGAUUUUUUA